This 2354-nucleotide ribosomal RNA is filed under the name Campylobacter coli. Its description in RNAcentral is "partial 23S ribosomal RNA". It matches the Rfam family "Bacterial large subunit ribosomal RNA", at positions 1 to 2205 of the family's 2925-position model. Lineage: Bacteria; Pseudomonadati; Campylobacterota; Epsilonproteobacteria; Campylobacterales; Campylobacteraceae. The record is from RNAcentral.
AAAAAAGGUAAGCUACUAAGAGCGAAUGGUGGAUGCCUUGACUGGUAAAGGCGAUGAAGGACGUACUAGACUGCGAUAAGCUACGGGGAGCUGUCAAGAAGCUUUGAUCCGUAGAUUUCCGAAUGGGGCAACCCAAUGUAUAGAGAUAUACAUUACCUAUAUAGGAGCGAACGAGGGGAAUUGAAACAUCUUAGUACCCUCAGGAAAAGAAAUCAAUAGAGAUUGCGUCAGUAGCGGCGAGCGAAAGCGCAAGAGGGCAAACCCAGUGCUUGCACUGGGGGUUGUAGGACUGCAAUGUGCAAGAGGUGAGUUUAGCAGAACAUUCUGGAAAGUAUAGCCAUAGAGGGUGAUAGUCCCGUAUGCGAAAAACAAACCUUAGCUAGCAGUAUCCUGAGUAGGGCGGGACACGAGAAAUCCUGUCUGAAGCUGGGUCGACCACGAUCCAACCCUAAAUACUAAUACCAGAUCGAUAGUGCACAAGUACCGUGAGGGAAAGGUGAAAAGAACUGAGGUGAUCAGAGUGAAAUAGAACCUGAAACCAUUUGCUUACAAUCAUUCAGAGCCCUAUGUAGCAAUACAGGGUGAUGGACUGCCUUUUGCAUAAUGAGCCUGCGAGUUGUGGUGUCUGGCAAGGUUAAGCAAACGCGAAGCCGUAGCGAAAGCGAGUCUGAAUAGGGCGCUUAGUCAGAUGCUGCAGACCCGAAACGAAGUGAUCUAUCCAUGAGCAAGUUGAAGCUAGUGUAAGAACUAGUGGAGGACUGAACCCAUAGGCGUUGAAAAGCCCCGGGAUGACUUGUGGAUAGGGGUGAAAGGCCAAUCAAACUUCGUGAUAGCUGGUUCUCUCCGAAAUAUAUUUAGGUAUAGCGUUGUGUCGUAAUAUAAGGGGGUAGAGCACUGAAUGGGCUAGGGCAUACACCAAUGUACCAAACCCUAUCAAACUCCGAAUACCUUAUAUGUAAUCACAGCAGUCAGGCGGCGAGUGAUAAAAUCCGUCGUCAAGAGGGAAACAACCCAGACUACCAGCUAAGGUCCCUAAAUCUUACUUAAGUGGAAAACGAUGUGAAGUUACUUAAACAACCAGGAGGUUGGCUUAGAAGCAGCCAUCCUUUAAAGAAAGCGUAAUAGCUCACUGGUCUAGUGAUUUUGCGCGGAAAAUAUAACGGGGCUAAAGUAAGUACCGAAGCUGUAGACUUGCGCACAACUUAGAUUAUUUAAGUUUAGAAUAUGAGAAACUAAGUUAUAUGUUUAGUUAUAUUUUUACUGAUUUUUAUAGAGUAAAGAUAGAAAUAAAACUUAGUAAAAUCAGUAAAAAUAUUCUUAGAUUAAAGUUAAGUAGUUUAAGUUGUGUGCAAGUGGUAGGAGAGCGUUCUAUUUGCGUCGAAGGUAUACCGGUAAGGAGUGCUGGAGCGAAUAGAAGUGAGCAUGCAGGCAUGAGUAGCGAUAAUUAAUGUGAGAAUCAUUAACGCCGUAAACCCAAGGUUUCCUACGCGAUGCUCGUCAUCGUAGGGUUAGUCGGGUCCUAAGUCGAGUCCGAAAGGGGUAGACGAUGGCAAAUUGGUUAAUAUUCCAAUACCAACAUUAGUGUGCGAUGGAAGGACGCUUAGGGCUAAGGGGGCUAGCGGAUGGAAGUGCUAGUCUAAGGUCGUAGGAGGUUAUACAGGCAAAUCCGUAUAACAAUACUCCGAGAACUGAAAGGCUUUUUGAAGUCUUCGGAUGGAUAGAAGAACCCCUGAUGCCGUCGAGCCAAGAAAAGUUUCUAAGUUUAGCUAAUGUUGCCCGUACCGUAAACCGACACAGGUGGGUGGGAUGAGUAUUCUAAGGCGCGUGGAAGAACUCUCUUUAAGGAACUCUGCAAAAUAGCACCGUAUCUUCGGUAUAAGGUGUGGUUCGCUUCGUAUUAGGAUUUACUCCGAAAGCGAAGAAACUUACAACAAAGAGUCCCUCCCGACUGUUUACCAAAAACACAGCACUCUGCUAACUCGUAAGAGGAUGUAUAGGGUGUGACGCCUGCCCGGUGCUCGAAGGUUAAUUGAUGGGGUUAGCAUUAGCGAAGCUCUUGAUCGAAGCCCGAGUAAACGGCGGCCGUAACUAUAACGGUCCUAAGGUAGCGAAAUUCCUUGUCGGUUAAAUACCGACCUGCAUGAAUGGCGUAACGAGAUGGGAGCUGUCUCAAAGAGGGAUCCAGUGAAAUUGUAGUGGAGGUGAAAAUUCCUCCUACCCGCGGCAAGACGGAAAGACCCCGUGGACCUUUACUACAGCUUGACACUGCUACUUGGAUAAGAAUGUGCAGGAUAGGUGGGAGGCUUUGAGUAUAUGACGCCAGUUGUAUAUGAGCCAUUGUUGAGAUACCACUC